This 446-nucleotide ribosomal RNA is filed under the name uncultured bacterium. Its description in RNAcentral is "partial 16S ribosomal RNA". It matches the Rfam family "Bacterial small subunit ribosomal RNA", at positions 330 to 793 of the family's 1533-position model. The record is from RNAcentral.
GCCAGACUCCUACGGGAGGCAGCAGUGGGGAAUAUUGCACAAUGGGGGAAACCCUGAUGCAGCGACGCCGCGUGAGCGAAGAAGUACCUCGGUAUGUAAAGCUCUAUCAGCAGGGAAGAAGAUGACGGUACCUGACCAAGAAGCUCCGGCUAAAUACGUGCCAGCAGCCGCGGUAAUACGUAUGGAGCAAGCGUUAUCCGGAUUUACUGGGUGUAAAGGGAGCGCAGGCGGCCUUGCAAGUCUGAUGUGAAAGCCCGGGGCUCAACCCCGGGACUGCAUUUGGAACUGUGUCGCUAGAGUGUCGGAGAGGCAGGCGGAAUUCCUAGUGUAGCGGUGAAAUGCGUAGAUAUUAGGAGGAGCACCAGUGGCGAAGGCGGCCUGCUGGACGACAACUGACGGUGAGGCGCGAAAGCGUGGGGAGCAAACAGGAUUAGAUACCCCGGUAU